GUGAACCUGCGGAAGGAUCAUUGUCGUGAGCUUGAGCCACCGGUGAACUAAGUUCUGUCACUCCAGUUCGUGGGGGCGUGCCUCUGAGGACGGGAGCUCGUCUCGGUCGUCUUCCUUCGCAUGUUGAGGGUCGGCUGAGCGACGGCCCUGCCUCGGGGUGUGCGACUGCGCGAGCAGACACCUUUAGGGCGCGACUCGCGCCAAGGGCUUGUAGGGGAUUGAGCGGCAUCCUGUCUCGGUGGCCCACCUGCCCAAUGCGAUGGUUGCGGCUUGCCGGUGGGAUCGGACCCGCGUCUCUGGCUUUAAAGACGACUCUCGGCAACGGAUAUCUCGGCUCUCGCAUCGAUGAAGGACGUAGCGAAAUGCGAUACUUGGUGUGAAUUGCAGAAUCCCGUGAACCAUCGAGUCUUUGAACGCAAGUUGCGCCUGAGGCCACUCGGCUGAGGGCACGUCUGCCUGGGCAUCACGUCACCCACAGCUCCCCUGUGCCUGUUCGUUUGGCGGAUCGGGAAGCGGAGAUUGGCCGUCCGUGCCUGGCUUGGCGUGGUUGGCCCAAAAAGCUGGUCACAGUGCGACACGGCACGACGUGUGUUGGUUGAGUUGCUACUCGUCGGAGCUUUGAGCGUCGCGCCGGUUGUCCCGUAGCACUUGCCCACUCGUGGGGACCCAUCUUGCCCGCUUCGGCGGGUGCUCGAACUGCGACCCCAGGUCAGGCGGGGCCACCCGCU
Molecule: ribosomal RNA, 728 nt
Filed under: Hortonia floribunda
Lineage: Eukaryota; Viridiplantae; Streptophyta; Magnoliopsida; Laurales; Monimiaceae
Description: eukaryotic LSU rRNA
Rfam family: 5.8S ribosomal RNA (bases 311-466)
Source: RNAcentral